Molecule: ribosomal RNA, 329 nt
Filed under: uncultured eukaryote
Lineage: Eukaryota
Description: partial 18S ribosomal RNA
Rfam family: Eukaryotic small subunit ribosomal RNA
Source: RNAcentral
CCCUUAGAUGUUCUGGGCUGCACGCGCGCUACACUGAUGCGCUCAACGAGUUUACGAACUUGCCCGGAAGGGUUGGUUAAUCUUUUUAAAACGCAUCGUGAUGGGGAUAGAUUAUUGCAAUUAUUAAUCUUCAACGAGGAAUUCCUAGUAAGCGCGAGUCAUCAGCUUGCGUUGAUUACGUCCCUGCCCUUUGUACACACCGCCCGUCGCUCCUACCGAUUGAAUGGUCCGGUGAAGCGCUCGGACCGCGGCCUCUUGACGGUUUUCCGUCGAUUGGCUGUGGGAAGUUCGUUAAACCUUAUCAUUUAGAGGAAGGAGAAGUCGUAACA